GCUCACUUUGGCAGGGCAAAUUCUAAAGUGGGACAACACAGAGAAGAGUAGCGUGGCCCUUGGGCAAGGAUGAUAUGCAAAUUUGUGAAGUGUCCAUAUUUUUA
Molecule: small nuclear RNA, 104 nt
Filed under: Carlito syrichta (Philippine tarsier)
Lineage: Eukaryota; Metazoa; Chordata; Mammalia; Primates; Tarsiidae
Source: RNAcentral